Molecule: ribosomal RNA, 253 nt
Filed under: uncultured bacterium
Lineage: Bacteria
Description: partial 16S ribosomal RNA
Rfam family: Bacterial small subunit ribosomal RNA
Source: RNAcentral
UACAGAGGUGGCAAGCGUUGUUCGGAAUUACUGGGCGUAAAGGGCGCGUAGGCGGUCCUUUAAGUCCUGCGUGAAAUCCCCCGGCUCAACUGGGGAACUGCGCGGGAUACUGAGGGGCUCGAGUUCGGGAGAGGGAAGCGGAAUUCCGGGUGUAGCGGUGAAAUGCGUAGAUAUCAGGAGGAACACCGGUGGCGAAGGCGGGUCUCUGGGCCGUAACUGACGCUGAGGAGCGAAAGCAUGGGGAGCGAACAGG